GACGAACGCUGGCGGCGUGCUGAACACAUGCAAGUCGAACGGAAAGGCCCUGCUUUUGUGGGGUGCUCGAGUGGCGAACGGGUGAGUAACACGUGAGUAACCUGCCCUUGACUUUGGGAUAACUUCAGGAAACUGGGGCUAAUACCGGAUAGGAGCUCCUGCUGCAUGGUGGGGGUUGGAAAGUUUCGGCGGUUGGGGAUGGACUCGCGGCUUCUCAGCCUGUUGGUGGGGUAGUGGCUUACCAAGGCUUUGACGGGUAGCCGGCCUGAGCGGGUGACCGGCCUCCUUGGGCUUCAGCUCCGGCCCAGACUCCUACUUGAGGCAGCAGUGCGGACUAUUGCCCAGUGUGCGGCAGCCUGACGCAGCAACGCCGCGUGCCGGAUGACUGCCUUCGGGUUGUAAACCGCCUUCGCCUCUGCCCAAGCGUUAGUGACCGUAAUGGGUAAAGAAGCCCCGGCUAACUACCUG
Molecule: ribosomal RNA, 468 nt
Filed under: uncultured bacterium
Lineage: Bacteria
Description: partial 16S ribosomal RNA
Rfam family: Bacterial small subunit ribosomal RNA
Source: RNAcentral